This 497-nucleotide ribosomal RNA is filed under the name uncultured bacterium. Its description in RNAcentral is "partial 16S ribosomal RNA". It matches the Rfam family "Bacterial small subunit ribosomal RNA", at positions 28 to 507 of the family's 1533-position model. The record is from RNAcentral.
GAUGAACGCUGGCGGCGUGCCUAAUACAUGCAAGUCGAGCGAACAGACGAGGAGCUUGCUCCUCUGACGUUAGCGGCGGACGGGUGAGUAACACGUGGAUAACCUACCUAUAAGACUGGGAUAACUUCGGGAAACCGGAGCUAAUACCGGAUAAUAUAUUGAACCGCAUGGUUCAAUAGUGAAAGACGGUUUUGCUGUCACUUAUAGAUGGAUCCGCGCCGCAUUAGCUAGUUGGUAAGGUAACGGCUUACCAAGGCGACGAUGCGUAGCCGACCUGAGAGGGUGAUCGGCCACACUGGAACUGAGACACGGUCCAGACUCCUACGGGCGGCAGCAGUAGGGAAUCCUCCGCAAUGGGCGAAAGCCUGACGGAGCAACGCCGCGUGAGUGAUGAAGGUCUUCGGAUCGUAAAACUCUGUUAUUAGGGAAGAACAAAUGUGUAAGUAACUAUGCACGUCUUGACGGUACCUAAUCAGAAAGCCACGGCUAACUACGUG